Molecule: ribosomal RNA, 488 nt
Filed under: Escherichia coli
Lineage: Bacteria; Pseudomonadati; Pseudomonadota; Gammaproteobacteria; Enterobacterales; Enterobacteriaceae
Description: partial 23S ribosomal RNA
Rfam family: Bacterial large subunit ribosomal RNA
Source: RNAcentral
UUGAAGGUUGGGUAACACUAACUGGAGGACCGAACCGACUAAUGUUGAAAAAUUAGCGGAUGACUUGUGGCUGGGGGUGAAAGGCCAAUCAAACCGGGAGAUAGCUGGUUCUCCCCGAAAGCUAUUUAGGUAGCGCCUCGUGAAUUCAUCUCCGGGGGUAGAGCACUGUUUCGGCAAGGGGGUCAUCCCGACUUACCAACCCGAUGCAAACUGCGAAUACCGGAGAAUGUUAUCACGGGAGACACACGGCGGGUGCUAACGUCCGUCGUGAAGAGGGAAACAACCCAGACCGCCAGCUAAGGUCCCAAAGUCAUGGUUAAGUGGGAAACGAUGUGGGAAGGCCCAGACAGCCAGGAUGUUGGCUUAGAAGCAGCCAUCAUUUAAAGAAAGCGUAAUAGCUCACUGGUCGAGUCGGCCUGCGCGGAAGAUGUAACGGGGCUAAACCAUGCACCGAAGCUGCGGCAGCGACGCUGAUGCGUUGUUGGGUA